RNAcentral lists this ribosomal RNA (497 nucleotides) under uncultured bacterium. RNAcentral's name for it is "partial 16S ribosomal RNA". It matches the Rfam family "Bacterial small subunit ribosomal RNA", at positions 28 to 507 of the family's 1533-position model. The record is from RNAcentral.
GAUGAACGCUGGCGGCGUGCCUAAUACAUGCAAGUCGAGCGAACGGACGAGAAGCUUGCUUCUCUGAUGUUAGCGGCGGACGGGUGAGUAACACGUGGAUAGCCUACCUAUAAGACUGGGAUAACUUCGGGAAACCGGAGCCAAUACCGGAUAAUAUUUUGAACCGCAUGGUUCAAAAGUGAAAGACGGUCUUGCUGUCACUUAUAGAUGGAUCCGCGCUGCAUUAGCUAGUUGGUAAGGUAACGGCUUACCAAGGCAACGAUGCAUAGCCGACCUGAGAGGGUGAUCGGCCACACUGGAACUGAGACACGGUCCAGACUCCUACGGGAGGCAGCAGUAGGGAAUCUUCCGCAAUGGGCGAAAGCCUGACGGAGCAACGCCGCGUGAGUGAUGAAGGUCUUCGGAUCGUAAAACUCUGUUAUUAGGGAAGAACAUAUGUGUAAGUAACUGUGCACAUCUUGACGGUACCUAAUCAGAAAGCCACGGCUAACUACGUG